Pezoporus flaviventris is the source of this 727-nucleotide long non-coding RNA. RefSeq lists it as uncharacterized. The transcript has 3 exons. NCBI's taxonomy places the organism in Eukaryota, Metazoa, Chordata, Aves, Psittaciformes, Psittacidae. The record is from RefSeq and is a predicted model, not a curated record.
GAUGAACUUGAUUUCUUCAAGUUGUCAGAUGUCCUCUUUUCUUUUUUUCCCCAGUAGUUUGCUGGAAUAGGCUCAGAUAUUUUACAUAUAGCUACAUUUAGUAGCAUUUGCAAAAUGACUGUAAAUCUGCCAUCAAAGUGCUUGUUUAUACAUAAAGGCAUACAACUUCAGAAGAACCUGUUACAUAUUCCAGUUGCUCCUGGACUCACUAAGAAGGUAAGAGGGAAACACAGUGAUGACGGGUUGUAAAAUCAAGAGCAAGGACAUAAAGCAGAGCAAUAGGUCAGAGUGUAUGAACCAGACUUGUGGGUGAAACCAGUGUUGGAAAGGUACUCCAGGAGGACAAUUCCUGUGCUCCAGCCAGACGGCACAUGGGACCAGACUGAAAAACAUAGCCACGCAUACAAUAUGAAUGUGGGGUCCUCGUUUCCGACUUCAGCUCUGCUCCCAUUUGGCUCUUUAGCCUUCUAACAUAGAUACAACCAUCUGACACCCAGCAUCCAUCAGCAGAUAAGAAAUUAUUAUUGCAUUACAGACUAUAGUUUUACUACUAAAAUUAUUUCAACUAAGUGCUGGAAGCCCUAGAAUAAUAUAAUGCUCAUCGCAAAUGAAUUGUUCUCAUGAUUUAAACUCAAAGCUUUCAAAUCCCUAGCACAGGCUUUUGUUCUUCCUAACCCAAAGCAGCAGCUCUGCUUUUGAGACUCUCUUAUAGCACAUGCACACUAAA